Molecule: transfer RNA, 73 nt
Filed under: Stylophora pistillata
Lineage: Eukaryota; Metazoa; Cnidaria; Anthozoa; Scleractinia; Pocilloporidae
Description: tRNA-Thr
Rfam family: tRNA
About the family: Transfer RNA (tRNA) molecules are approximately 80 nucleotides in length. Their secondary structure includes four short double-helical elements and three loops (D, anti-codon, and T loops).
Source: Rfam by way of RNAcentral
GGCUUGUUAGCUCAAUUGGUAGAGCACUGCACUUGUAUGGCAGAGGUCAGUGGUUCGAGUCCCAUACAGGCCU